Long non-coding RNA from Patella vulgata (common limpet), 419 nucleotides. RefSeq lists it as uncharacterized. The record is from RefSeq and is a predicted model, not a curated record. Lineage: Eukaryota; Metazoa; Mollusca; Gastropoda; Patellidae. The transcript is spliced from 3 exons.
CCUGAUAACAAAAAUAUCAGUUUACCCCGAGACGAGAAGAUCGUAAUAUUAUCCUCCAGUUUAAUCGACAUUAUGAAGGUUUUUAUUCUAGCUUUUUUGGUAUUAUUAUGUGCUGUUGCCGUCUAUGGAGCUUCCACUUACAGAGAGGAUGAAAAACGUCAUAUAAUUCUCAGUAAUGACCCGGAAUGUCCCCAACAGGGAAGUGAAUGCAGCAUGAUGCAUCGUUGCUGUGGAGAUUUAGAUUGCCAUUAUAAAACAUUCUUUACGACGAAAGGAAUUUGUGUGGAGGUUCUAACAGCUCCCGAUGUUGUAUUUGGUGACAGCGCAUUUUCAAAAUAAAUCCAUGACGAUCGACCGUAAACCACGGAUAGCAAUAAUUUAUUUUAAAGUUUUUGAGAAAUACAAAAAUGUCAUUAGUA